UGCAGUCGAACGAUGAAGCCCAGCUUGCUGGGUGGAUUAGUGGCGAACGGGUGAGUAACACGUGAGUAACCUGCCCUUAACUCUGGGAUAAGCCUGGGAAACUGGGUCUAAUACCGGAUAGGAGCGCCUACCGCAUGGUGGGUGUUGGAAAGAUUUAUCGGUUUUGGAUGGACUCGCGGCCUAUCAGCUUGUUGGUGAGGUAAUGGCUCACCAAGGCGACGACGGGUAGCCGGCCUGAGAGGGUGACCGGCCACACUGGGACUGAGACACGGCCCAGACUCCUACGGGAGGCAGCAGUGGGGAAUAUUGCACAAUGGGCGAAAGCCUGAUGCAGCGACGCCGCGUGAGGGAUGACGGCCUUCGGGUUGUAAACCUCUUUCAGUAGGGAAGAAGCGAAAGUGACGGUACCUGCAGAAGAAGCACCGGCUAACUACGUGCCAGCAGCCGCGGUAAUACGUAGGGUGCGAGCGUUAUCCGGAAUUAUUGGGCGUAAAGAGCUCGUAGGCGGUUUGUCGCGUCUGUCGUGAAAGUCCGGGGCUUAACCCCGGAUCUGCGGUGGGUACGGGCAGACUAGAGUGCAGUAGGGGAGACUGGAAUUCCUGGUGUAGCGGUGGAAUGCGCAGAUAUCAGGAGGAACACCGAUGGCGAAGGCAGGUCUCUGGGCUGUAACUGACGCUGAGGAGCGAAAGCAUGGGGAGCGAACAGGAUUAGAUACCCUGGUAGUCCAUGCCGUAAACGUUGGGCACUAGGUGUGGGGACCAUUCCACGGUUUCCGCGCCGCAGCUAACGCAUUAAGUGC
RNAcentral lists this ribosomal RNA (799 nucleotides) under Micrococcus luteus. RNAcentral describes it as "bacterial SSU rRNA". It matches the Rfam family "Bacterial small subunit ribosomal RNA", at positions 56 to 867 of the family's 1533-position model. Lineage: Bacteria; Bacillati; Actinomycetota; Actinomycetes; Micrococcales; Micrococcaceae. The record is from RNAcentral.